RNAcentral lists this ribosomal RNA (301 nucleotides) under uncultured bacterium. RNAcentral describes it as "partial 16S ribosomal RNA". It matches the Rfam family "Bacterial small subunit ribosomal RNA", at positions 509 to 807 of the family's 1533-position model. The record is from RNAcentral.
CAGUCGCCGCGGUAAAACGUAGGUGGCAAGCGUUGUCCGGAAUUAUUGGGCGUAAAGGGCUCGCAGGCGGUUUCUUAAGUCUGAUGUGAAAGCCCCCGGCUCAACCGGGGAGGGUCAUUGGAAACUGGGAAACUUGAGUGCAGAAGAGGAGAGUGGAAUUCCACGUGUAGCGGUGAAAUGCGUAGAGAUGUGGAGGAACACCAGUGGCGAAGGCGACUCUCUGGUCUGUAACUGACGCUGAGGUGCGAAAGCGUGGGGAGCGAACAGGAUUAGAUACCCCUGUAGUCCCUGUCUCUUAUAC